GGGGACUUAGCUCAGUGGUAGAGCGUUUGCCUAGGAAGCGCAAGGCCCUGGGUUCGGUCCCCAGCUCCG
Molecule: transfer RNA, 69 nt
Filed under: Rattus norvegicus (Norway rat)
Lineage: Eukaryota; Metazoa; Chordata; Mammalia; Rodentia; Muridae
Rfam family: tRNA
About the family: Transfer RNA (tRNA) molecules are approximately 80 nucleotides in length.
Source: Rfam by way of RNAcentral